Molecule: ribosomal RNA, 501 nt
Filed under: uncultured bacterium
Lineage: Bacteria
Description: partial 16S ribosomal RNA
Rfam family: Bacterial small subunit ribosomal RNA
Source: RNAcentral
AUUGAACGCUGGCGGCAGGCUUAACACAUGCAAGUCGAGCGGAGAUGAGGUGCUUGCACCUUAUCUUAGCGGCGGACGGGUGAGUAAUGCUUAGGAAUCUGCCUAUUAGUGGGGGACAACAUUCCGAAAGGAAUGCUAAUACCGCAUACGACCUACGGGAGAAAGCAGGGGAUCUUCGGACCUUGCGCUAAUACAUGAGCCCAAGUCGGAUUAGCUAGUUGGUGGGGUAAAGGCCUACCAAGGCGACGAUCUGUAGCGGGUCUGAGAGGAUGAUCCGCCACACUGGGACUGAGACACGGACCAGACUCAUACGGGAGGCAGCAGUGGGGAAUCUUGGACAAUGGGGGGAACCCUGAUCCAGCCAUGCCGCGUGUGUGAAGAAGGCCUUAUGGUUGUAAAGCACUUUAAGCGAGGAGGAGGCUACUGAGACUAAUACUCUUGGAUAGUGGACGUUACUCGCAGAAUAAGCACCGGCUAACUCUGUGCCAGCCGCCGCAGUAA